Molecule: microRNA precursor, 75 nt
Filed under: Haemonchus placei
Lineage: Eukaryota; Metazoa; Nematoda; Chromadorea; Rhabditida; Trichostrongylidae
Description: mir-5928 microRNA precursor family
Rfam family: mir-5928 microRNA precursor family
Source: Rfam by way of RNAcentral
GGCCCAAAUCUGAAGUGGGAUAGAUUAGUAAGCUCAACUGAUCCUACUGUUCUACUAUACAUCAAAAUUGGGCCC